UGGCGUCUUCAGUCAUGUUGACGUGUCGACAAUGAGACAAUCACCAAGCUUGCCUCGUGCCUUAUUUCAAGCUUGAAAGCUCAAUAUCGUAUCACUAAUCUCAACUCAUCAACCUAUCCAUCAUCCAUAACCUGAUUCCUGACCUCCUCGCAUGAACAAACAAAUGGAGGUAAAGGUCACGAUGAAGCAGAGGAGGACAACAACAGUGUGUUCACCAACAAUUGUUGAUUCAGCACAUCUAUUCCUGUGAGCUGUCAAUCAAAGCGACAAGAAGCUUGCCCAGAGGCUACAUCCAGCAGUGAUUUUGGCUCAGCGUCAGAGCGCUAUGCUGCCAUGUUCAGCAAAGCUUCCAGUAUUGGAAGGUUGAGCCUUGGACGCCUCAUUGCUCAUCAGUCUCACUCCCUCAAGUAUCCUCCCCUGAACCCACCCCUUCCCCCAGGGGCCUCAUGGGAUCUCUGCAGUACAAAUUUCCGUUUAGAUUCUAGUGGCUGAGGCUGACGACACCGCAGCGCUCCUACCCCACAGCUUGAUGAGCCCUCCGAUGGCGAUUUACUGUACAUGGCAGCCACUCUGGAGCCGACGCACAUCUGGUGCUGAGUAUGCUGACUGAAAAACAGUGUAGCGGAGCAAAGCCGAUGAAAGCCGCCCCUUCCCAGCCCAAACCCAUUUUCCCCUACUGCCUUCAUCAUAUCCUCAAAGCCCUCCCUCCUCCCGCAAGCCAGAUCUCGAAGCCUUUGGAAAGACUGCAAAGUGUCAACAAAAACUUGAGAGAGACAUUAAAAGACAUGCUGCACUUAAUGAUGUGAUAGUACUGGGAUUUUUCUCUGUGAGUGAGAGUGUGUGAAUGUGUCAGAGUUGGUCGCGAGAACACACUGAAUGUUCAGCCUCAAGUCCAAAUACAGUUAUGAUUUGACU
Molecule: long non-coding RNA, 915 nt
Organism: Hippocampus zosterae (dwarf seahorse)
Lineage: Eukaryota; Metazoa; Chordata; Actinopteri; Syngnathiformes; Syngnathidae
Exons: 4
Source: RefSeq, a predicted model, not a curated record